Molecule: long non-coding RNA, 585 nt
Filed under: Felis catus (domestic cat)
Lineage: Eukaryota; Metazoa; Chordata; Mammalia; Carnivora; Felidae
Description: lncRNA (ENSFCAG00000050617.1)
Source: RNAcentral
GCCUGAUUGAUGACUCAGGGGGACUGUGGCUGCCGCAGGCCUAUUUUAUGAUGUCAUUAGGCAGCUUCGGCCGCGGGAAGGAAUCCCUCCUGACAUCAUAAAGGACUUGAUAUUUCGCUAAUGUUAUCUUGGCGGCGUGUCGCCCUGACAUUUUCUCUUUGCAGCACUCCCCCCAGGACCGGGAGUUGUCUAACUACAGCCUGGAAAAAAUGCAAAACAGACAAAUGCACCCUCGGGGGACAGCGGGAGAAAGCUAAUAGACCAGUCCCCGAAUCCCCACCCACGGAGGUGGUUUAGGUGGGAAGCAUGAUGUGUUUGUCAAGGGGGACCCAAGGCUGCCUUCCUACUGAUUCUCUCCCGCCUUGGGCCGCCUCUGCUCAGCCGGCAGGGAGGAAGUCAGGUGCUGAUGUUCCAGAACAAGCUCUGCCACCCAGAGGCUAUGUGACUUGGGCUAAGCCCUUACCCUCCCGCACCUCAUUUGCCCCAUCCACGCCGCAGGGGUGUGGCCCAGAUAAUUUCAGACUGCGUGAGGCUCUGCUGAGGGCCCUGAAGCUGUUGGGGACGGCCAAAGUGCCACAGAGAUAA